CAUGAGACACUACUUGCCACAACCUGGUGAAGAGUCCAGCUGAGCCCUGCCUUCUCCUCGUCCAGCCGGGAAGCAGACAGAAGAGAGAAAUUUCCUUGGUGAGUACAGCCAGCAGUCAUUCCUUGUUCCUGAGUAAUCCUCAAAUCAGAGCCCCAUGAGGCCUCAAACACCAUAGAGUGGAGACAAACUUCUGUAAGUUUCUGGCCCACAGAAACCGUGGGCAUAAUACAACCAUUGUUUUAUAAUACUAAGUUUCAGGUAGAGUGUGUUACACAAACAGAUAACCAGAGUAAGGGACAAAGGUGUGCAGGUGAGGAAGACUCAGAGUGCAAUAGGAGACCCUCCAGCAGACUAGGUCCUCUACCCCCCUUCUCCACAUUGAGGUGCCAUGUUGGGGGCUGGGAGGCUGGGAGGAAUGGGAGCAUAUAUGGAGAAGAGAAACAGCCUUGGUGAUGAAUUUUGAGGCUUGACCUUGGCUAUCACUUCAGAAAUGACUAUAAUGUAUGAAAGACAUUGAAACUGGAAGAUACUAGAAUACCUUAAAAUUUUAUUUUAUUUUAAAUAUUUUAUUUAUUUAUUCAUGAGAGACACAGAGAGAGGCAGAGACAUAGGCAGAGGGAGAAGCAGGCUCCCUGCAGGGAGCCCGAUGCAUGACUUGAUCCCAAGACCCCAGGAUCAUGCCCUGAGCCAAAGACCGACGCUCAAUGGCUGAGCCACCCAGGUGUCCCAAUAACUUAACUUUUUAAUCUACCCCCCAACCAGCAAUUAAACAGGGUCCUUCAGGUAAGACAAGAAUCCAUUUGGAAAAGAGAGAGAGCAACACUUACUGUACCAGUCAGCUUAUGGUGUGAAGUUGACGCUGAGCCCCUGUUUGAUGGCAGAAGGUCUGUUAAUUUCUAGACACUGGAUGUAUGAGAAGCGAAGCUGACCAAAGUGUGAAUGACACUGGCACUUUUCAUGAAUGCUGAACAUUUUUAUUCAUUGAAUCAUAAUGACAAUUAGUGAUUUAUGAUAAAUGAGUUAAAGCUUUGCUACUUUCUGUAUUACUGUGAUGUGAUUUGUUUCCACCAUGUUUCAGGAUCCCAAGAGGGUAUCACACUAUUAAUUUAUCAGAUUUAUGCAGACCUUCUGGGGUCCACUGCACCAGCUCCGUCCGUGCUUUAGAGGCCCUGGAAGUUCCUCGCUUCUGUGUGCUCACAUCCUUCCUCGUGUAAAACGAGCAUGAUGUGAGCAAAGAAAAUCUCCAUCAAGCACAAAUCAGCCAAGGAAAUCUGGCUUAUUUGGGAACUCAGUAACUUGACAUCUGGCCCAUGGGGGAGAAAGAUGGAAAAUAAGUCAUAAGAAAAAUGAACAAGGCUAUUACAAAUCAGAGGAAGAUGCCACUGGAUGAAGAAGAGACAUCUCAUCAUGUGUGGUUUUGUGGUUGUCUUCUAGCCAAUAUGAUUGGUCACGUCAACAUGAACUGACAUAGUUGCUACUUCACUAAGUUUCACUCAGAUCAGACAGGUUAAUAUUAAUAAAGGAUAUUCACAAAGACACAAAGCAAUUAUUUUUAAGACAAUGAAGUCUGUGGAGAGAAGGACAUCAGAGUGUACUGGUGAUCUGGACGUGAAAUGCUGUUGUGUUGGGGAGACGUGCUCAUGUCAGGUGCAAAGCCAAAGCACCUUUGUAUACCAGCAAUGUUAUGUUCAAAUAUUUAACAUAUUGAUUUAUAAAUGUUCAGGAAAACUCCCUGUUCUUUGCAUAACCACAUCAGUGCAGGUUAACAAGACAAGGAAGUGACUCUCCUUGUUGUAAGGAAUUUAGCAACAAGCAACAAUGAUGAAAGUAAUGAUGCUGCCUCACAUUUGCUUUGUGACCCUAUACUUACACAUAUACUUUCUUAUUUAUGUCAAGCCUCGUGAGACAGAUAAGAGGAUUCUAAGCCAGUGAGUUAUCAGAAGGAAACCUAAAGAAAGGCCUCUUUGUUAGCUGCUCAUGGAGAAAAAUCAUGUGGGGAUAUGAAUUGGCCACAAGGAGAUUUGAGUCCUGUUUCUAAUGCCAUUUCAUGAUGACCUUAGGCCAAAAAAUUGUGUUUGUGUCUUUGCUUCCUCAUGCAUAGAAGUUCAGUCGUAAAUCACUAUUGAUCUUGUGUGGCAUUCUAUUUAAUAAAGAGUUAGCAUACGAAUACAUAUAACACAACUUGCACAUUUCAAAAAUAUGAUUCAAUUUGUAAUCAUAACAUAAUUUGAACAAAUAUCUGUGACAUACAACCGGGUUAACAAUAUAUUUUCUUAUAACAGUAGAACUUUCUGGCCAGUGUAUAAAAAAGAUGAACAGAUUCUGGACUCAUACUUAACUGGAUUUAAAUCUCAGCUCAGCUGUGAACCUUUACAAAAGUUACUCUGCAUUUUCAGGCCUAAUUCCUAAUUCCCCUUCUCUGUAAAAUGGGGUAAUGAUGGUGCAUAAAUGAGGAGGCUUAUCUUGCAGAUGAAAUGAGUUGAGAGAUGUAAGGUAAUUAGAAGAGGGUUGACACAUGGUAAUCCCAAUAUGAAAGUUAGUUCUUACUAAAUUCUGGGAGACAUUUUAGUAUCAAUAGACCUACCUUGGAUUUCCAUGAAUAACUUACUCACUUUUACCAAACACUGAGACUUCACUUUACUUUGCCUUGUCAUAUUUUUCUUUUACAUAAUAAAUUUACUUAAAUUAAACUUUUAGUCAUUUGGGGAGGGGGGAUUUUAAGAGUAGUCUGUGAAUAAUAAGGAGGUGUCCCUCUCUCUGUGACUACUAAUAAAUCCAUUUGUAAUUUUAA
Molecule: long non-coding RNA, 2791 nt
Organism: Canis lupus familiaris (dog)
Lineage: Eukaryota; Metazoa; Chordata; Mammalia; Carnivora; Canidae
Exons: 2
Source: RefSeq, a predicted model, not a curated record